This 376-nucleotide long non-coding RNA is filed under the name Capra hircus (goat). Its description in RNAcentral is "lncRNA (ENSCHIG00010023612.1)". The record is from RNAcentral. Lineage: Eukaryota; Metazoa; Chordata; Mammalia; Artiodactyla; Bovidae.
UUCCAGGUUGCCCUGUAUCCUGUCAGGUGCAGCUGUGGCUGUGGCCGAGUCUGCGGCGCGCUCCCUCCUCCUGGAUGGCCUCCUGGGAAAUCAGCCUUCCUGUAUUCUCCCAAGGGGCUGUUCCAAAGGGAGAGGAUGGGAGUGAAAGGAAUCAGCCAGCCAGCCUGUGCUACUAGAUGAAUGGAAAACUCUGAUUUAAACAAAGUACUAACAAGGAAUUGUCCUUGAUUUUUGUACUUUGUAGAAAAAUUCUUCCUCAAAUUCUUUUCACAUCUUUCCUUACUGUAAAAACUGCAUUUAAGUUAGAAAAUGAAGCAAUUGAAGAGGAAAAGGAAAAGCAAUUUCAGUGUACAAGAAACUCAGACCCUUUUGAAAG